CCUACGGGUGGCAGCAGUCGAGAAUCAUUCACAAUGGGGGAAACCCUGAUGGUGCGACGCCGCGUGGGGGAAUGAAGGUCUUCGGAUUGUAAACCCCUGUCAUGUGGGAGCAAAUUAAAAAGAUAGUACCACAAGAGGAAGAGACGGCUAACUCUGUGCCAGCAGCCGCGGUAAGACAGAGGUCUCAAGCGUUGUUCGGAAUCACUGGGCGUAAAGCGUGCGUAGGCUGUUUCGUAAGUCGUGUGUGAAAGGCGCGGGCUCAACCCGCGGACGGCACAUGAUACUGCGAGACUAGAGUAAUGGAGGGGGAAGCGGAAUUCUCGGUGUAGCAGUGAAAUGCGUAGAUAUCGAGAGGAACACUCGUGGCGAAGGCGGGUUCCUGGACAUUAACUGACGCUGAGGCACGAAGGCCAGGGGAGCGAACGGGAUUAGAUACCCCAGUAGUC
This 446-nucleotide ribosomal RNA is filed under the name uncultured bacterium. Its description in RNAcentral is "partial 16S ribosomal RNA". It matches the Rfam family "Bacterial small subunit ribosomal RNA", at positions 338 to 795 of the family's 1533-position model. The record is from RNAcentral.